Long non-coding RNA from Temnothorax curvispinosus, 1835 nucleotides. RefSeq lists it as uncharacterized. Lineage: Eukaryota; Metazoa; Arthropoda; Insecta; Hymenoptera; Formicidae. The record is from RefSeq and is a predicted model, not a curated record. The transcript has 3 exons.
GUCCGAUAAUAGAAUACAUCAUUAACAUGUGCAUUUCGUCACAGCGCAGCGAGAAACGCGAAGUAUCUUCGAUUGCGCGACGUUCACCGAUCGCGCUACUUUCUAACUCACGGUAAUAUCCGACUACGAUGAUCGUAGCUCGGUAAUCAGGAAUGACGGUGCAGUUUAGAAAAAAUGGAGCAGCGAAUUAUCCGCGAUAAUUCGCUUCGCGCCGGCUUUACUUCUCAAUUACGGUCGCGUUUCUGAAUUUGUUUUAUGAACGUUCAGCGUAUCUUACGACACUCAUUGAUACUUUUAUUUGAUAUAUUGGCGUCUAACGGAUUUAUUCACGUCGGCCAGAUUGCCACGGGUCGAGCGCACCGCGCGAGAUCUGUUCGUCAAGCAUGAGGACGUAGCCGUGUCAGGGACAACGGAACAUUUACUUGUCGAAGCUGAACUGGAGGAGCUCAGUCUUACGCCUUUACUUGGGUGGAGUUCUUCUGUAGUGUCGCUACGCGCACAUACGUUCAUCAGGGUAGAGAAGCCUCGCGGUAACGGCUCUACGAGGACUAAAUCUUACAUUAUGAGAGAAUCGCUGUAUUACAAGAGGAUUUUAUGAAGGAGGAGCGGAAUUAAGGUGUAAUGAGCCCGCGCAAUUAUAUCUGUCACGCAGACAUAUACUUGCUCCCCUCGGGUUAAGUUAAUGAGGAGUAACAACAGACGAGUUUCGUAACGAGAGAUUCAUGGAGAUAAUACUAGCUUCACUAAGAGUCGGAUAAUUUCUAUGAGAGUACUGAUAGAGCCAGCGGAAAUAAAGAUUUUUUUCCAUGCACGAUGGCUGCUUCAAUACUUUCAUCGGGAGGAAGCAUCCUCGAUGCGCCGUAGGCUAAAUCAAUUUCACGGAAGACGUUAUAUUAUCGCGUACCGUUCAGCUUCCGAUGCGACCUCCGAUCAUCUCUGAUAUAUCACGUUGAAAGCCACUGUGAGCAGCGGCUCACGCGACCGUUUAAAGCGCUUAUGCAAUUCCCACGCAUGAACUAUCACCAAACGAUGCAAAGACCAUCGGACAGCUGCACCCGUAGAAAGGGAAAUCGUCGCUUGGGUAUAGAACUAAAUUUAUCUGAAGUCGGAAGCGCGCGAUCGAACAUGCUUCGCAGCGGUGUUUACACACACCUACACCCACACAAACGUGAAACACGCACACUGCCGUGAAAUCGUGCAGAAUCGCUAACACGUAUGCACCACAUGUGCGCACACGUACGCACGUACGCCUCGAUUCAGCAAACAGAGCCUUUCUUCGUUACGUGCGCGAUAACGCGAGAGUAGAUAGGUUUCCGCUUGAUAAUUCGGCCGCUGGUCAUUUACCGCUGUGCAAACGUCGCGUCGGAUCAAUGCUCGAUUAACAGGCGAAAGUGUUUUUGCGUGUUUUUUUAAAUCUUUUUUUUUUAUUGAGAAAUUUUAAAAUCUAUCACUACACAAUAUGCGUAAGCUUUUUGAUUUGUAAUAAUUUUUGCUACUUAAUGUGUUUAAAAACAGGUUAUUAUUAUUAAUGCGCAUAUUAUACAGACAUAUAUAGACAUUAUGACACUUAUAAACUUGCGAUUUAUUCAUGACAUUAUCUUCAUAUAAAAGCUUCCUCGAAGAUUAUGAAUUGUGACAGUCUCUCACACACUCGCUGUUUUCUAAUAAAAGUUUUUUCCAUCUCACAAAAAAUUGCUACACACAAUUGCAGAUAUUAUAAUCUUCUGAACAAUAAUACGCUAUUCUUAAACGUGGCAAAAUUCUUUCACAAUACUUAUAAAUAUUCGCGAUAUUUAGUGGCAAAACCUUGAACUUUAUUUCGCAUAGAAAAUUUA